ACCGUUUUCAAGAAGACAGAAUCCCAUUUUGUGACGUUUCGUAGUGGAAGAUGGAAGAAUCAUGAGGUGAUGUCAACAGCAAGAUCAAGACCGAUGGCAAAAUGCAAGAUGGAAGAAUCAUGAGGUGAUGUCAUGAAGAGACAUCAAACUCCAAUGUGCUUGAAGGAACUUGUGGCAGGGCACUUGAAGGAGGAAUCACCAGACAACAAUUGAAAUGAGAUGAAGGUGAAGGAUGCGGACACAAAGUCUAUUAGCUGGGCGACCAUCAAUAUUCAUGAUAAGGUUGCAAAGCUUCCAUCAGAGCACUUGCCAAGAAGGUUAAUCCAUUGUCUAACUUUUGUUAUAUGUACGGUUUAUGUGUCUGCUAGAGAUCAUUAGCAACUUUAGGAAUUAGCAUGUGCAAUUUUGCCAAAUGUGGUUCUCAUGUCAGUAACAUUCAAGCAUAGUGCAGACUCUCUUCAGUACAUGUUUUGCUUCAGUUAGGAGAACUGCUUCUAAUCUUUAAUAACUUUGAUUUUAUUUUCAUUUCCCAAGAGAUUUAUUGAUAUAUUCAGAAUCAUUACUGUUUUUGUACCAAUUGCUUUAAUUGAUGUGGAAGAGAAGUCUUAUUUGGGGAA
Panicum virgatum (switchgrass) is the source of this 617-nucleotide long non-coding RNA. RefSeq lists it as uncharacterized. The transcript has 2 exons. The record is from RefSeq and is a predicted model, not a curated record. NCBI's taxonomy places the organism in Eukaryota, Viridiplantae, Streptophyta, Magnoliopsida, Poales, Poaceae.